Molecule: ribosomal RNA, 398 nt
Filed under: uncultured bacterium
Lineage: Bacteria
Description: partial 16S ribosomal RNA
Rfam family: Bacterial small subunit ribosomal RNA
Source: RNAcentral
AUACGUAGGGUGCGAGCGUUGUCCGGAAUUACUGGGCGUAAAGAGCUCGUAGGUGGUUUGUCGCGUCGUCUGUGAAAUUCCGGGGCUUAACUCCGGGCGUGCAGGCGAUACGGGCAUAACUUGAGUACUGUAGGGGAGACUGGAAUUCCUGGUGUAGCGGUGAAAUGCGCAGAUAUCAGGAGGAACACCGGUGGCGAAGGCGGGUCUCUGGGCAGUAACUGACGCUGAGGAGCGAAAGCAUGGGUAGCGAACAGGAUUAGAUACCCUGGUAGUCCAUGCCGUAAACGGUGGGCGCUAGGUGUAGGGGUCUUCCACGACUUCUGUGCCGUAGCUAACGCAUUAAGCGCCCCGCCUGGGGAGCACGGCCGCAAGGCUAAAACUCAAAUGAAUUGACGGGG